GAUGAACGCUGGCGGCGUGCCUAACACAUGCAAGUCGAGCGAACAGACGAGGAGCUUGUUCCUCUGACGUUAGCGGCGGGCGGGUGAGUAACACGUGGAUAACCUACCUAUAAUACUGGGAUAACUUCGGGAAACCGGAGCUAAUACCGGAUAAUAUAUUGAACCGCAUGGUUCAAUAGUGAAUGACGGUUUUGCGGGCUCUUCUAGCUGGUUCCGCGCUGCAUGAGCUAGUUGGUAGGGUAACGGCUUAUCAAGGCGACGAUGCGUAUCCGAACUGAUAGAGUGAUCGGCGACACUGGAGCUGAGACACGGACCAGAGUCCUACGGGAGGCAGCAGUAGGGAACGGGAGGCAAUGGGCGAAAGCCUGACGCAGCAAGGCCGCGUGAGUGAUGAAGACCUUCGGUUCGUAAAGCUCUGUUAUGAGGGAAGAACAAAUGUGGCCGUAGAUAAGGCCGUAUUGACGGUACCUAAUAAGAAAGCACCGGCUAACUACGUG
RNAcentral lists this ribosomal RNA (497 nucleotides) under uncultured bacterium. RNAcentral's name for it is "partial 16S ribosomal RNA". It matches the Rfam family "Bacterial small subunit ribosomal RNA", at positions 28 to 507 of the family's 1533-position model. The record is from RNAcentral.